Molecule: ribosomal RNA, 468 nt
Filed under: uncultured bacterium
Lineage: Bacteria
Description: partial 16S ribosomal RNA
Rfam family: Bacterial small subunit ribosomal RNA
Source: RNAcentral
GACGAACGCUGGCGGCGUGCUUAACACAUGCAAGUCGAACGGAAAGGCCCUGCUUUUGUGGGGUGCUCGAGUGGCGAACGGGUGAGUAACACGUGAGUAACCUGCCCUUGACUUUGGGAUAACUUCAGGAAACUGGGGCUAAUACCGGAUAGGAGCUCCUGCUGCAUGGUGGGGGUUGGAAAGUUUCGGCGGUUGGGGAUGGACUCGCGGCUUAUCAGCUUGUUGGUGGGGUAGUGGCUUACCAAGGCUUUGACGGGUAGCCGGCCUGAGAGGGUGACCGGCCCCAUUGGGACUGAGAUACGGCCCAGACUCCUACGGGAGGCAGCAGUGGGGAAUAUUGCACAAUGGGCGGAAGCCUGAUGCAGCAACGCCGCGUGCGGGAUGACGGCCUUCGGGUUGUAAACCGCUUCCGCCUGUGACGAAGCGUGAGUGACGGUAAUGGGUAAAGAAGCACCGGCUAACUACGUG